RNAcentral lists this ribosomal RNA (494 nucleotides) under uncultured bacterium. RNAcentral describes it as "partial 16S ribosomal RNA". It matches the Rfam family "Bacterial small subunit ribosomal RNA", at positions 28 to 507 of the family's 1533-position model. The record is from RNAcentral.
GACGAACGCUGGCGGCGCGCUUAACACAUGCAAGUCGAACGGAAAGGCCUGCUUUCCCUUGUGGAUUGCGGGUACUCGAGUGGCGAACGGGUGAGUAACACGUGAGUGAUCUGCCCCCAACUUGGGUAUAAGCCUGGGAAACUGGGUCUAAUUCCCGAUAGGACUGCAGGGUGGUGCCUGUGGUGGAAAACGAUUUUCUAGUGGUUGGGGAUGAGCUCGCGGCCUAUCAGCUUGUUGGUGGGGUAAUGGCCUACCAAGGCGGCGACGGGUAGCCGGCCUGAGAGGGUGGACGGCCACAUUGGGACUGAGUUACGGCCCAUACUCCUACGGGAGGCAGCAGUGGGGAAUAUUGCACCAUGGGCGGAAGCCUGAUGCAGCGACGCCGCGUGGGGGAUGACGGCCUUCGGGUUGUAAACUCCUUUCGACCGCGAGGAAGCCACCUGGUUGGAAGGGUGGUGACGGUAGUGGUAGAAGAAGCACCGGCUAACUACGUG